CCUCAGUUCUCCCUUUAUUGCAACUAACUGGCCCCCCUCUCUGAACUACAGAAAGGCUGGUUAGUGACUGGUUUUUUGUUUUUUUGUUUUUUUUUUUUUUUAGUCUUCCAGCUCCCCCUUCUGGACUGUGACUUGAAACUUGCCCCAUAACCAUGCAAGAUCUUAUUCCUUGUGACAAUUCCUUCAUUCAGUAAUACUUAGCAAUCCCACCUCGCUAACUGUCACAUCGCCACCAGCGAGACUUCCUGUUGACUUUCUCACACGAGCAUAAAGCAUGCGAAAGUUGCCAUGCCAUCAAUACUCUAUAAAUAAGUUUUUAAAAUCGCGUGUAUAACCUCACAUCCAAAUCAAGAAAUAGAACACGAGUCAAGGCGGCCGGAGAGACGGCCCAGGCGUUAAAGGCUAGGCUCAUACCCAAAUCUGUAAGAAGAUGAGUCAAGAAGAUAAUGAAUAUGAACUGAAGAGAUGGGGUGGCAAGUGACUCCCCUCUCCUCCCCUCCUCCCCUCCUCCCUACCCCUUUUGUGUGCAUGGGGGUGGCGUUUGGCUUGACUUUUUUUUUUUUUGGCUUGACUUUCAAAUCACUCUACUAUUUUUAACAUUUUAAAUUUCCAAAAAUGAAGCCACAACCUUGAGGAGAUAAGCCUAAUUUAUAUAUAAAAAAAGAAAACAAACAAACAACCGUUGGACAUGAUAACAAGCACCUUUCACUCCAGCACUCAGAAAGCAGAGGCAGGAGGAUCUCCAUGAGUUCAAGGCCAGCCUGGUCUACACAGUGAAUUCCAGGACAGCCAGAGCUGCCUCGUGAGAUUCGGUCUCAAACCCCACGCUAUGGAAUAAUCCUUCUGUAUACUGUGAAUAUGUGUUGCUUUCGUUGGUUAAUAAAGAAGCCAACUGGCCUAUAUCAAGGCAGGAUAAAAGUUAGGUGUGUCAAUCAAACUGAGGACACUGGAAUGAAGAAGGGUUGAGUGAGAGAGUCAUUGGCCGAUGCAGAGAGAGCAACAGGGGCACGCCAUACUGAGAAAAGGCACCAAGCUACGAGGCAAAGCACAGAUAGGAAAUAUGGAUUAAGUGUAAGAGUUAGCUAGUAACAAGCCUGAGCUAUCAGCUCCUUCUCUGGCACCCCAUCUGCCUGCCCACCACCACCACGUAACACCAUGACCGUAAUGGAUUAAACCUCUGGAAAUGAAAGCCACCCCAAUUAAAUGCUUUUCCUUUACAAGAGCUGGAGUGGGUCAUGGAGUCUCUUCACAGCAACAGAAACCAUAACUAAGACACAUUACCUUCCUCUUCACCAAUAUCAGGAUAAACUGACAUCCUUCCAAUGACACGCAUGACCCCUACAAUAAUCAGUCAGAGGAUAACAUUUUAAUAAUGAAGAAAUAACCUUUCUGAUGUGGAAUAUUUGUUCAACUAUGCAAAGAUGCAUUGCAUUUGUUUAACUCUGUAAAGGUGUUGUGCUGGGUGGUUUUGUGCGUCAACUUGACACAAGCUGCAGAGUCAUCAGAGGAAAGAGCCUCAGCUGAGGAAACACCUUCUUGAGAUCCAGCUAUAAAGCAUUUUCUCACUGAGUGAUCAAUGUGGUACCAUCCCUGGGGUCCUGGGUUCUACAAGAAGGUGGGAUUAGCAAGCCGUAGGAAGCAAACCAGUAAGCAACUCCCCUCCAUGGCUCUCUGCAUCAGCUCCUGCUUCUGGGAUCCUGCUCUGUUUUGAGUUCCUGUCCUGACCUCCUUCAGUGAUGAACAGCAAUGCUGAAGUUGAGACACGUUUGUUCCUGUCAACACCAAUCCACUUCAUAAAAGGAUGAUGGACAUCAAAGAACUUCCAUAUGGAGUUGACUUUCAUUGUGGCAAGCUAGCCAUUUAGGCAAGAAACUGCUCUUACCUCACUGCUGACAAUAUACUGUUCAAACUGGACAAGCAGGACACAAAGGAAAAAGACCGACAAACUUUACCAAGACAAGAGAGCACAACGAAGAAACUAGCUUGGUGAACCGAUGAGUUGCCUGGGGAUACACCCAAGAGGAAGCUGGGGCACCCGAAACCCACUCCAGCGUGGGGCUGACUCAGAGGAGCCGCAUUCCUGGAGAUCCUUGCACACCUUGCGGUCAGCAUCAUCAGAGAGUGAGCCCCUCCCCGUCAUUGGUUAGAACUUUUCUCAACCCGUGCGAAUGGGCCUAUCAAUCUUGUGGCUUUGUAAGCUUCCGGAGCCUUAUAAUUUCAUUAGCUUCCUGAGUCUUGCGAGUCUCCUUCCUUCGAGAAGGACUAUUUUAAUUCGGAACUUAAAUGACAUCAGUUAUGGGGAAGUUCGAUGUCUGUAGUUACUGAAAUUUUAAAAUAAAUCUAAAUACAAACUGA
Molecule: long non-coding RNA, 2355 nt
Organism: Mesocricetus auratus (golden hamster)
Lineage: Eukaryota; Metazoa; Chordata; Mammalia; Rodentia; Cricetidae
Exons: 3
Source: RefSeq, a predicted model, not a curated record